CUGAAAUCAAGUGUGACGACCCCCUGAAUUUAAGCAUA
RNAcentral lists this ribosomal RNA (38 nucleotides) under Dermanyssus gallinae. RNAcentral's name for it is "partial 28S ribosomal RNA". The record is from RNAcentral. Lineage: Eukaryota; Metazoa; Arthropoda; Arachnida; Mesostigmata; Dermanyssidae.